GCGCCUUAUGCAUGCAAGUCGAGCGAAGCUUUUCAGUAGUUUACUACAGAAAAUGACUGAGCGGCGAACGGGUGAGUAACGCGUGAGCAAUCUACCUUAGUUACAGGGAUAGCCCGAGGAAACUCGGAUUAAUACCUGAUAUUCUUUAUUUCUCGCAUGAGAAUAAAAGGAAAGGUCAGCCGAACUAAGAUGAGCUCGCGUUCUAUCAGCUAGUUGGUGAGGUAAAAGCUCACCAAGGCUACGACGGAUAGCUGGUCUGAGAGGACGAUCAGCCACACUGGGACUGAGACACGGCCCAGACUCCUACGGGAGGCUGCAGCAGGGAAUAUUGCGCAAUGAGCGAAAGCUUGACGCAGCGACACCGCGUGUGGGAUGACGGAUCUAGGUUUGUAAACCACUUUCAGGAGGGAAGAAAAUGACGGUACCUCCACAAGAAGCCCCGGCCAA
RNAcentral lists this ribosomal RNA (447 nucleotides) under uncultured bacterium. RNAcentral describes it as "bacterial SSU rRNA". It matches the Rfam family "Bacterial small subunit ribosomal RNA", at positions 44 to 500 of the family's 1533-position model. The record is from RNAcentral.